CCUACGGGCGGCAGCAGUGGGGAAUAUUGGACAAUGGACGGAACUCUGAUGCAGCCACGCCGCGUGAGGGAAGACGUCCUUAUGUAUGUUAAGCUCCUUUAACAUGGAAGUAAGUGCUGGCACCUGAGACAGAAGCUACGGCUAACUACGAGACGGCAGCCGCGGUAACCCGUCGGGAGCGAGCGUUAUCCGGAAUUAUGGGGCGUAAAGGGUGCGUAGAUGGCUGAGUAAGUCUCUUGUAAAAAUGCUGGGCUAAACCCAGUAAGGCACAAGAUACUGCCAAGCUUGAGUAUGACAGAGGCGAGUGGAACUCGAGGUGUAGCGGUAAAAUGCGUAGAUAUAUGUAAGAACACCGAUUGCGAAGGCAGCUUACUGGGUUGCUACUGACAUUGAGGCACGAAAGUGUGGGGAGCAAACAGGAUUAGAUACCCGUGUAGUC
This 439-nucleotide ribosomal RNA is filed under the name uncultured bacterium. RNAcentral's name for it is "partial 16S ribosomal RNA". It matches the Rfam family "Bacterial small subunit ribosomal RNA", at positions 338 to 795 of the family's 1533-position model. The record is from RNAcentral.